UACAGAGGGGGCAAGCGUUAUUCGGAAUUAUUGGGCGUAAAGGGCGCGUAGGCGGCUUUGCAAGUGACGGGUGAAAUCCCUCGGCUUAACCGAGGAACUGCCUGUCAGACUGCAUGGCUUGAGACCGGGAGAGGCGAGUGGAAUUCCCGGUGUAGCGGUGAAAUGCGCAGAUAUCGGGAGGAACACCAAUGGCGAAGGCAGCUCGCUGGGACGGUACUGACGCUGAGACGCGAAAGCGUGGGGAGCAAACAGG
This 253-nucleotide ribosomal RNA is filed under the name uncultured bacterium. RNAcentral's name for it is "partial 16S ribosomal RNA". It matches the Rfam family "Bacterial small subunit ribosomal RNA", at positions 524 to 776 of the family's 1533-position model. The record is from RNAcentral.